RNAcentral lists this ribosomal RNA (700 nucleotides) under uncultured bacterium. RNAcentral's name for it is "bacterial SSU rRNA". It matches the Rfam family "Bacterial small subunit ribosomal RNA", at positions 42 to 733 of the family's 1533-position model. The record is from RNAcentral.
UCAGGCCUAACACAUGCAAGUCGAACGGCAGCGCGGGGAGCUUGCUCCCUGGCGGCAAGUGGCGGACGGGUGAGUAACGCGUAGGAAUCUACCUUGUAGUGGGGGACAACCCGGGGAAACUCGGGCUAAUACCGCAUAAUCUCUACGGAGCAAAGUGGGGGAUCUUCGGACCUCACGCUAUAAGAUGAGCCUGCGUUAGAUUAGCUUGUUGGUGGGGUAAUGGCCUACCAAGGCAACGAUCUAUAGCUGGUCUGAGAGGACGAUCAGCCACACUGGGACUGAGACACGGCCCAGACUCCUACGGGAGGCAGCAGUGGGGAAUAUUGGACAAUGGGGGCAACCCUGAUCCAGCAAUGCCGCGUGUGUGAAGAAGGCCUUCGGGUUGUAAAGCACUUUCAGUAGGGAAGAAAGGCUUAAGGUUAAUACCCUUGAGAGUUGACGUUACCUACAGAAGAAGCACUGGCUAACUCUGUGCCAGCAGCCGCGGUAAUACAGAGAGUGCAAGCGUUAAUCGAAAUCACUGGGCGUAAAGCGUGCGUAGGUGGAUACUUUAGUCGGAUGUGAAAGCCCCGGGCUUAACUUGGGAACUGCACCCGAUACUGGGUAUCUAGAGUAUGGUAGAGGGAAGUGGAAUUUCCGGUGUAGCGGUGAAAUGCGUAGAUAUCGGAAAGAACACCAGUGGCGAAGGCGGCUUCCUGGA